This 16107-nucleotide long non-coding RNA is filed under the name Capsicum annuum. RNAcentral describes it as "long non-coding RNA (CANN_LNC004705)". Lineage: Eukaryota; Viridiplantae; Streptophyta; Magnoliopsida; Solanales; Solanaceae. The record is from RNAcentral.
UGAAAAGGAAAAGUAUUCUGUGGCGUAUGAAUGAAAAAAUAUCUUUUGUGUACUAUGAAAGGAAAAACAGUUUACAAAUUUCUACUUGAAAAGAAAAAAUUUCAAAAUGUUUAUGAUGUAAAUAUGCGGAAAUUAAUUGAUUAAUUUUAUUUGUUUGUGUAAAUAUUAACAACCUAAAUCUUGCCUAAAUGUGCGAUGAGAAUUAUGUAUAUUAGGAACAUCCCCACCCGACCAUCCAAAAGUAAAGUUUUCACUAUAUUUGUACAAGUAUAAAAAUAUAAAAUACAACACAAAUUUAAAGUCUUCUUUGAAUGCCACUCCCGACGAGUAUCCCCAUAAUAAAAAAUGUUAGUAACAAAUCAAAAUAAAUUUAAAAUAUAUGUGCAUAUAUGUAUAUAAAAAUAGAAUUUUUUAUUAAAGUGUGGGUUUAGAUAAAGUUUUAAAUAUUAUAAAGAUUUUGUCAUUUCCAAGUUUAUUUAUUUUUGUUAUGCAUUUUUAUACAUAAUGUUCGUAUUUUAUUUGGGGAGGCUUCAAAAAUCAACGGAGAAUUUCUUCAUUGGCCAACUGUUGAUGCUUGAUAUGAAUAAAUAAACUUGAGAAAAAUGAAGUUCAUCUUUGUAAUGGGGUGGCCUCAAAAAUCUAACGGAGAGAUAAUUUCAUCGGCCAUGUGUCUAUUCUUGAUAUAAAAUAAAUAACUUGGAAAGUAAAGAUUCAUCUUUUGUAUUGGGGUGGCCUCAAUUAUCUGACAGAGAGAUAAUGUCAUCGUCCAUUUGUAGUGUACUAUCUUAUUUUGUUACUAAUUUAAAAAAAUAUAAAGGGCAAAAUUAGUCCCCCAGACAAUAUAACACAGUAGCAAAGAUAGAAAAUCUGUAAAAAUUUGAGCAGCCUGAAAUUACAGGAGCGUUUGAAACAUGUAAAUGCUCGUCGAAAAGUAUAGAGUUUUGUCAACUCCGGCAAACAAUAUUUAGAGCGAUAAUAAAGAGCAGGUAAAACAAAACAUUAUUUUUCAGUCAGUUUCAAUAAAAAAUCCAACAACACAAUAUUGAUGAAUAAUACAACAAAACCCAAACUAUCAAAGAAUUUUUCGAUCAGUGAUAGCAACAAAUAGAGGAAGAGAAUGAUGUUGCUUCCACAACCUUCGCCAAUGUGAUACCGAAAGCCGUGAACUUUGGCCAUAUCUAACUCAUUUUGAUGGGCAGUGGCUGUGGUAUUAUUUGUCAAUGGUUAAAUCUGGCAGUGACAGUGAAGAGGGGUAGGGCGACGCAUGGUAGUGGUACCUCGCCGAUCAUCACUUCUGGAAAGAAGAGGCAACCAAUAAGAACACGACAUCAAAGAGGAGGGGCUGGGUCAGAGUUUUCACUAGCCAUGAUGCUUGUUCAUGAUUCACCAAUGAUGGGGGAGCGAAGGUUACAUUGUGGUCGGAGGUGGUCAGUUUUGGGAGUUUAACCGGCUGGAUUUGGUGGUUCUUGGUCGAAAAAAGCCCAUCGGUGGUCAAAUAUGGUGAGACAGUAGCGAAAAAGAGUUGGAGGGGUGGUCUCUGAUAGAUCUAGUUCAUGGUGGUCACCGACAGAUCUGGUUCAUGGUGGCACUGAUGUUUUUACCGGCUAGAGCGGUGGUUGGCGGUGGUUUACUGGUGGCAGUAGAGCGGCGAUGGUAGCGUGAUUGGUUAAGAAAGAUGAGAGAGGAAGAGAGAUGCAUAUAUAUGUUGGUGUGUGUAUGUGUGUUGGUGUGUGUAUAUUGUUAUUUUUUCAAAGAAUUGUGUGGCUGGCUCCCCUUUUUUUUAAGCUGAGAGGUAGAAAAUAAAAAUCUAUCCUCUCAAUUUUUGUCUCAUGGGGUGAUUGUUCUCCCUUUUGUUUGUGUGUGUGAUUAUUAUACUGUCUCAAAAUAAUUGAUCCGACUCAGUAUUUGCGGACCGUAAAUAUAUAGACAUUACUUUGUAAUUAUGAAAAAAAUGUAAAGAAUGUUGAAAAUAUUAAAAAAUGUAAUUAAUUCUAAAAUGUUUUUAAAAUGUGAUGUCAUGUCAUGAAGUAUACUGAUGAUCAUUAAAUAUUAAAAUGAUAAUGAAUUGAUAAACAUUCCAAUGUACAGAGAAUUAUUAAUAAAUUAUAAAAAAGUAAAAAUAUGAAGAUAAAUUGAUAAAAUUCUAAAGUAAGGAUGAAUAUCAAUAAUUUAUUAACAAUUAUCAAAAUAUGUGAAAAUUAUAUUUUGUGCCCUUUAACACUCAAGAAGCCUAAAGACGUUAGUUUAAGCAUGGAGAGCAAAAAUUGGGUGUCAACAGUUGCCUCUUUUCAUUUGAGGACGAUGUAGAAGUCUUCAAAUGAAAACAUUGAUGUAUAGCCAAUUUUGCUCAACAAAAGAUUAUUUUUUUAUGGAAAUUCGAUUGACCUUCAAUUUAGAGUUGCCUACAUACCUUGAGUUGUACGAGGAUCAGGUUGGGUGUAGUUCAAAAGAAUAGGUGAAUUGCCUCUUGUCCCAUUAUUAAGGGAUGAAUAAUCAUGUGGAAUGAUUAUUGAGAGGAGGACUGUUUGGGAAUACAAGCUCUCACAUGGGGAUGCAAUAUUAUGUACUUCUUGGGGAGAAAGAAUGAUUAUGUGGUUGUGAUGACCGAGCUCUGCAUAGAGCUUCCUACAUAUCUCGAGUGCCGCAAGAAUAAGGUCAAUGUAGUUCGGAAUGAGAAAAUAGGAGAAAUUUUGAGACGGUUCUCAAAAUUUGCCCCAGUGUACGAUUUGACUAACAUUUGGCUUUUUGAAUGGAAUUUGAAAAAAAUGUAUUGUUUUGAAUUGUAUUUUUGGUUUAAAAGAUGUAUUAUGUCUUCGAAUGUCUAUGUAGACUUGUGGAUGAAUAACGUCUUCGAUUAUUUACGGGAAAUUAUGUGAUGAAUGAAAGAUGUCUUAGAUUGUCUAUAAAGACUUGAUGCAUGACAUCUCUAAUUGUCUAUGGAGACUGAUGUUGAUUGUCAUCUUUAAUUGUCUAUAAAAACUAUGUGAUGAAUAAUGUCUUCGAUUGUAUAUGAAGACUUGAUGCAUGACAUCUCUAAUUGUCUAUGGAGACUGAUAUCGAUUGUUAUCUUUGAUUGUCUAUGAUGACUGAUAUGAUGUCUUAAUUAUUUACAAAGACAGAUAUUGAUUGACAUCUCCAAUUGUCUAUGAAGACUAUGUGAUGAGUGAUGAUAUCUUUGAUUAUCUACGAAGACUUGAUGCAUGACACCUCCAAUUGUCUAUGGAGGCUGGUGUUAAUUGUUGUUUUUGAUUAUCUACGGAGAUUGAUAUUGGUGAUGAUGUCUUCAAUUGUCUAUGAAGACUUGAUUACAACUCUAAUUAUCUAUGGAGACAGAUGCUGAUUGUCAUCUCUGAUUGUCUGAGGAGACUAUGUAAUAAAUGAUGUCUUUGAUUGUAUACAAAGACUUGAUGACAUCUCCAAUUGUCUAUGGAGACGGAUUUUGAUUAUGGUAAAGUCCUCUGGUUGUUUUGGUGCAUGAUAUCUCUGAUUAUCUAUGGAAACUGAUAAUAAUGGUCAUCCUCAAUUGUCUACGAGGACUAAGGUCAUCAACUGGUGAGGUGAUUGAAUUCUAAUGGCCUCUCGAUUGGUGGAAUAGCUGGAAGGUAAUAGCCUCUCGACUGGCGGGGCUGUUUAAAUUAAAGAGCUCUCGACUGAUGGAGCAAAAGAUAAUAGCCUCUCGAUAGGUAGGCUAUGGAGAUAAGAGGGCUCUCUACUGGCAGAGCGACUAGAAGGUAAUAGCCUCUCGACUGGUGGGGCUAUAGAUAUAAGGGGGCUCUUGACUGGCGGAGCAUAUAAAAGGUAGUACCCUCUCGACUAGUGGGGCUGUUGAAAGGUAAUACCCUCUCCACUGGAGGGGCUAUGAAAAUAUAAAAGCCUCUCAUGGGCGGGGCUUUGAAAGGUAAUAUCCUCUCGACUGGCAAAAUUACCAAAAUGUAAAAGCCUCUCGACUGAUAGGGCUUUGAAAGAUAAUAGCCACUCGACUGGCGGGGUUUUAAAAGAUAAUAGCCUCUCGACUGGCAGGGCUAUGAAAAUGUAAGAGCCUCUCGACUGUCGAGGCUUUAAAAGGUAAUAGCCUCUCGACUGGAGGGGCUAUGAAAAUGUAAAAGCCUCUCAACUGAUGGGGCUUUGAAAGGUAAUAGCCUUUCAACUAUCAGGGCUAUGAAAAUGUAAGAUCCUCUCGACUGGCGGGGCUAUGAAAAUAUAAAAGCCUCUCAACUGAUAGGGCUUUGAAAGUUAAUAGCCUCUCGACUGGCUAGGCUAUAAAAAUGUAAAAGCCUCUGAGAACACCUGAUAGAAAAGCAAAAUAUCUAUGUUUGAAGGCGGUUGCUUGAAAAUAAAAGUCAAUUGUCUAUAUUUGGAGGCGGGCGUCUUCUAUGUAUGUAAAGGCAUGUGUUUGAAAUGAAAGGAAAUUAUUUUUUAUAUUUUCAUUGUAAAAAAAUAUGUCGAAAGAUGAAAAAUGCGAAAGACUGCUUUGUGUUUUCUUUGUAAGAAAUGCUGAAAGGUAAAAAUACAAAAAUUUGUUUUCUAUUUUCUUUGUAAGGAAUGUUGAAAGGUGAAAAUGCAGACGAUUGCUUUGUAUUAUUUUGUAAGAAAUACUGAAAGUUGAAAAAAUGCAGAAGAUUGUUUGUAUUUUUUUUUGUAGGAAAUGUGAAAGAAUGUAAAAAAAUUAUUUUGUAUUUUCUUUGUAAAACUGUUGAAAGGUAACAAAGGCAUAAUCAUGUCUUGACUGUAAUUGGUACCAAUAAUUAGUAGUGUGUAAAAGAAUUCACCCAUCUCUUUCCCAGCUAACUGAGAUCGACUUUUGGGUAACUCCUAUAGUUUCAAGAGGUACCUCAGAUAUACCUAAGUAUUAAUAAGAUUUGUUCGUCUUGAUUCAAACAAAGGUUUUGAACUAUGUUUAUCCUCAUGUUUCAAGUGCCUUCUCCAGAAAUAAUGUCUCGUUUUCAUACCUACUUAAGUAUUUAUCUUUUUGAAUUGAGAGACGUCCAAAGAUAUACACUCACACUCAUAAGAAAGUUCAAUGAAUACAAUUAUGAAACUAUAGGCUUGGCCUUCAUGUAAGUAUCCACUAAUGCGAGAACACUUAGAGUAGGAUCUUGUAGGACUUGUUAUCGGCUUGUAAUGUAGGCUUGGGAAUGGGAAAGAUGCUAUUUAGGAUGAAAUUGACUAAUGCCUUGAUGAGCAUUGCACUGUAUCUGUGUUUCUGACAUCUGUUGCGUGCUUUGAGGCUUGAUCUUCUUUGUUGUGCUUCGCUUCUCCUUUAUGAUAUUUACUUCGACUUUAUUUGAAUCUUGUACUGGAGUUUUUCCCCUUUUUGAUAAACAUUUUUUUAUGAUUCUCCAUCUUUAUCGGAGUUAUAUUUUUUCUUUUUUCUUUUUUCUUUGUGCGGGGGUUUUUGCUCAUUCUUCUUUAAAGUCAGCUUUUCAUUUUUGUUCUUCUGGGACUCUAUAUCCUUCAUCUUUUUAAGCUUUAAUCUUGAAUCUUUGUCCAUAAUUUGCACAUAUUUAGUGCGCUCAAAGAGGUGGUCCAAGAGUGGGAUGGUGCAUGUAAGCACUAAAAAGGGAUAGGCUCAGAUGUGGUUAUCUAAAGAAAAGGUUUCAGGAUCAACGGGGGAAAUGCUAGGGGUUGAUGUCAUUUAGUGGGCUGUGAAAGGCAUAAUCGGGUCAAAAAAGGCCUACAAUCCUUUCCUAAAAUAAGUUUAACUCAAAAUUUUGCCUCAACAGACAUUCAGGCCAAUUUCUAGAUCAACAAUACAAUGUAAUGAACUAGUCUAAAGCUCACCACACAAUGCACUUGAAGCGAUAAGGUUGGCUUCAUUCUUGUCUUAAAUGUAUGCAAGAGAAUUUUUGAGUGUUACUCAAGUUUGAUUAAGAGGUAUCAAAGGAGUCUAUGGUUUUCCAUGAAUUCGGUCCUAUCUAUCAUACAAAUUUAUUCUUUCUCAUGCACACUUCUAACUAUAUUGGUACGAACCAAGUCAAAUUUUUGAUUUUUUAUUUAUUUAGAAAACAAAUGGGACCGAACCCCAAUGAGGGUUGCCUACCUAUCUUGUGAAAACAAGAAUACGAUCUGCGUAGUUCAGGCAAAUUUGUAAAUUUGUAUGUACAAUGUAUGAAUAUACAAGAGUAGUGGUCAUCCUUGAAAAUAAUGUGAAAGACGAUCAGGAAGGAAUUGCUUGUAGCAUCAAAAUUAUUUUUGAUCAGACGAUCGUGAGGGCAAAUGUCAAGCAUGUGGAGGGUUUUAAAAUUACUUCAAUAUGUCGACAAGAUUGAGAAGGUCAGACAUUGAAAAAGUUAUGACAUUAUUUCGCCGAUAUUGAACCCUUGCUUUGAAAAUGGGGAUCGAUACGACAUAAAUUUAAUGGUUUACAAAAUUUGAAAGAAGAAGCUAGAUGUUCUAGAACAAAAACCGAGUGAGAAUUUUGAGGUAGAACAGCUAUUGUAACAACCUGAUACUACCCCCUAGUCGUCACACGGUACUUGCGACCCCAAAGGACCACAAGCUAACCCAUGAAUGAUAUAUACUAUGAGUACUGAAUAAUAAUACUGAAAUGAAUGCAAAAUAACAAGUUGAAAUGCCAUACGGUUCAAAACAUGUAAAAUACUGAUAAAAUAUAAUAUCUAUAAAACUGAAUAUUGUCUGAAAAUCUAGCCUGAAAAGAAUCUAAUUGAAUCUGUCUAAAAGUGACGUUGAUGGGACAAUACCCCAACUAACUCUAUCUACUAAAAUACUACUAAGCUGGAGUACUAAAAUGAAAGCAUAUCCUCAAUAGAUGAGGACUCACUGCUAAAUCUGCUACUACUGGCUGAAUCUGGCUAAGCGCGGUCAGGAACCUAAGCAUCCGAACCUAUGAUAUGAAAUAUUAUAGCGCAAAAAACAAGUAUGUAGUCAGUACGUGGAAAUGUACUGGUAUGCUAAAUGAGGUAAGGCUGAAUGCAUGGGUUUAUAUACAUGAUCAAUAACUAACUGAAUAAUAUGCAAGAGAUGGAUUAGCAUACAUAGAGGAUCUGUAACUACUGAACAUACUGUUCCUACUGUGACUGAAUAAACUAGAACUGAAUCUGAUAACUGAAUAUACUGAUAAUCUGGGAUCACUGAUAAUCUAAAUUACUAUUAACUGAGUGACUGUAUCUGAUAGUCCUAAUUCUGUAGAACUGAACUGAGUUCUAUUCUGAAGACUAAGAUCGAAACUAAAACUGUGGGAGGUAAUCAUCUAACUGACAUGACCCAAAUAAGAUAAGAUAACUGAGCUGGGGUCCAAUCUGUAACCUCAAUUGGAAGGGUAUCAGUACCGUGCCAUGGGUAAAAAUAAGCUAAAAAAUAACCCUCUACUGGUAGGUUUCCUAAACGAUAAUGGUGGUACCCUCUACUAGCAGGUAGAGCACCUCAUCAACCCUCAACCGGCAGGUUUGAUGUCUCACUCUACGUUGGAUACGUAGUUUUGGAAUGUAAGGAUUACUUCUAAGGGUCACACCCUCUGCUGGAAGGUGAGCCCCCAUCCUUGGGUUCACUCGGUGCUAAUUGCACAUAUUUAGUGCGCUCAAAGAGGUGGUCCAAGAGUGGGAUGGUGCAUGUAAGCACUAAAAAGGGAUAGGCUCAGAUGUGGUUAUCUAAAGAAAAGGUUUCAGGAUCAACGGGGGAAAUGCUAGGGGUUGAUGUCAUUUAGUGGGCUGUGAAAGGCAUAAUCGGGUCAAAAAAGGCCUACAAUCCUUUCCUAAAAUAAGUUUAACUCAAAAUUUUGCCUCAACAGACAUUCAGGCCAAUUUCUAGAUCAACAAUACAAUGUAAUGAACUAGUCUAAAGCUCACCACACAAUGCACUUGAAGCGAUAAGGUUGGCUUCAUUCUUGUCUUAAAUGUAUGCAAGAGAAUUUUUGAGUGUUACUCAAGUUUGAUUAAGAGGUAUCAAAGGAGUCUAUGGUUUUCCAUGAAUUCGGUCCUAUCUAUCAUACAAAUUUAUUCUUUCUCAUGCACACUUCUAACUAUAUUGGUACGAACCAAGUCAAAUUUUUGAUUUUUUAUUUAUUUAGAAAACAAAUGGGACCGAACCCCAAUGAGGGUUGCCUACCUAUCUUGUGAAAACAAGAAUACGAUCUGCGUAGUUCAGGCAAAUUUGUAAAUUUGUAUGUACAAUGUAUGAAUAUACAAGAGUAGUGGUCAUCCUUGAAAAUAAUGUGAAAGACGAUCAGGAAGGAAUUGCUUGUAGCAUCAAAAUUAUUUUUGAUCAGACGAUCGUGAGGGCAAAUGUCAAGCAUGUGGAGGGUUUUAAAAUUACUUCAAUAUGUCGACAAGAUUGAGAAGGUCAGACAUUGAAAAAGUUAUGACAUUAUUUCGCCGAUAUUGAACCCUUGCUUUGAAAAUGGGGAUCGAUACGACAUAAAUUUAAUGGUUUACAAAAUUUGAAAGAAGAAGCUAGAUGUUCUAGAACAAAAACCGAGUGAGAAUUUUGAGGUAGAACAGCUAUUGUAACAACCUGAUACUACCCCCUAGUCGUCACACGGUACUUGCGACCCCAAAGGACCACAAGCUAACCCAUGAAUGAUAUAUACUAUGAGUACUGAAUAAUAAUACUGAAAUGAAUGCAAAAUAACAAGUUGAAAUGCCAUACGGUUCAAAACAUGUAAAAUACUGAUAAAAUAUAAUAUCUAUAAAACUGAAUAUUGUCUGAAAAUCUAGCCUGAAAAGAAUCUAAUUGAAUCUGUCUAAAAGUGACGUUGAUGGGACAAUACCCCAACUAACUCUAUCUACUAAAAUACUACUAAGCUGGAGUACUAAAAUGAAAGCAUAUCCUCAAUAGAUGAGGACUCACUGCUAAAUCUGCUACUACUGGCUGAAUCUGGCUAAGCGCGGUCAGGAACCUAAGCAUCCGAACCUAUGAUAUGAAAUAUUAUAGCGCAAAAAACAAGUAUGUAGUCAGUACGUGGAAAUGUACUGGUAUGCUAAAUGAGGUAAGGCUGAAUGCAUGGGUUUAUAUACAUGAUCAAUAACUAACUGAAUAAUAUGCAAGAGAUGGAUUAGCAUACAUAGAGGAUCUGUAACUACUGAACAUACUGUUCCUACUGUGACUGAAUAAACUAGAACUGAAUCUGAUAACUGAAUAUACUGAUAAUCUGGGAUCACUGAUAAUCUAAAUUACUAUUAACUGAGUGACUGUAUCUGAUAGUCCUAAUUCUGUAGAACUGAACUGAGUUCUAUUCUGAAGACUAAGAUCGAAACUAAAACUGUGGGAGGUAAUCAUCUAACUGACAUGACCCAAAUAAGAUAAGAUAACUGAGCUGGGGUCCAAUCUGUAACCUCAAUUGGAAGGGUAUCAGUACCGUGCCAUGGGUAAAAAUAAGCUAAAAAAUAACCCUCUACUGGUAGGUUUCCUAAACGAUAAUGGUGGUACCCUCUACUAGCAGGUAGAGCACCUCAUCAACCCUCAACCGGCAGGUUUGAUGUCUCACUCUACGUUGGAUACGUAGUUUUGGAAUGUAAGGAUUACUUCUAAGGGUCACACCCUCUGCUGGAAGGUGAGCCCCCAUCCUUGGGUUCACUCGGUGCUAAUUCCUAGCUCCCCCCAUCCUUGGGUUCACUCGGUGCUAAAUCCUACUCCCAGCUGAAAGACACUGAACUGUUAUACUGGACUUAACUAGACUGAAUUUCAUUGAUAUUACUGAGUUUUCAUAAGUUUUGUAACUGAUUGAAUUCUACUGAGUUCUGUAAUGGACUGAGAGUACUACUGAUAGUGACAUGACUAAUACUAUUCUAUAAUUGACACUGGCUCUAAAUAAACAACUAAGUUUUCAGGUAUUAAAUACCCCCAGGACUCAAUAGCAUGAAAAGUAAAGAAAAGCAUAAUCUUGAAUAACAUAACAAUGUUCACUUGGUCAUAAUUCAUUCAUAGAGAUAUUCGAUCAAACACUUGUAAUGCAUUAACUUGUACAUGAAUGAGGAUUACAUGUUAGCAUGCUAUAAUGGAAUUAUUUCAGUCUCAUAGAUAAUUUAUCAAACACAUAAGAAGUAUACUUGGUUCAUUAAUCAUAAACACUUAGGGUUAACAUGGUUACAAAAAUCAACUUGCAAAUUGAUGGGUUUAUCAUGAUUAUCAUGUAAUUCAACACAUACUAGAAUCAAGUCUUGGAACUUGUAAUCUAAAUCAUGGAUUAAAACUCAAAUAACAUCAUCAACAUAAAUUCAAUCUUAUUCAAAAAUGGAAAUCAUAAAUCAUAAAUCUUGUAUUUUGAAAAAGGAUUCUUUGGCUCCAUGGAAGGUAAGGAUCUAUGGAUGAACAUCUAGCAUACCUUAAUUUAAUGAGUUCUUGGAGAAAUUCUUGGGAUUGACCUUUAUUCUUGAGAGCUAGGGUUUAUUUUCUUGAGAGAGAAUUAUCUUUUGAUUUUGGGGAAAAGUGAAUAAUGAAGGGUUUUACACGUUUUUAGGGCUCAAAUCCUACAUCUGGGCAGAAUAAAAUCAUGAGAAAAGACUAUUUUAACCCUAGGCGCAACUUUAAUUCUUUGAGAAAUUUUCUCGAACUGGACCCCUGGUGCGACGCGACAUGAUGAUAUCGCACUGGGCCACUGGAAAAUGACAACUGGAAAAUUGCAUAGUCGUGCGACAGGUGGUUUUGCGUUGCCACUUUGUUUAUGAACUAGAAGUGCACCGCGACACGAUGAAAGCACGUUGGUACACUAAAAAUUGACAAUUAUGAUCUGAGUUUAUGGAGCGACGCACCAAUAUCAUCGAAAAAUACUGGAAAUUGACAAUUUCUCUUUUAACACACUCCACGAUGCGCUACUGCUUGAAUGACGAUGUUUAAUGACUGAAACUUAAAAUCAUCAUAGCUUCUUAUCCGGUUGUCGAAUUUAGACGAAUUUUAUAUCGUUGGAAAGAUAAUUGAAUUUCCUACGCAAUGGUAGGCUCAAAUAUGCAAAUAAAUUAGUAUUUCAAAAAUUUUAUUUAGAAUAACCCAUGUACAAAGUGCUAAUCUAGGCUAGGAAAUAUGGGGUAUUACAAUAUCUCCCCCUUAGGAAUAUUCAUCCUUGAAUGUGGCUAGUUAUGCUGAGAUAGUACGAACAGAAUAAGUUUACAUACUGAACUAAGCAUGCACAACUAAAGCAUGAUUACGUGACUGGUCUAAUAGACUGAACUUACAUUCUGAGCAUGCAUGUCUGAUGCAUGAGUUCAUGUAUGAACGGAUUAAUGAAUACAUAACUGAAUAUGCAUGAAUGAGACCAUGGGGACAUAACUAAGUUUGAAUCAUGUAAUAUGAACUGAAUCGAUUCUUUAGAUAGAUUUCAUGACAGGGUGAUGGUCAUACGACUGAGAUUGAGACUCGAGGGUCAAUUAUAAGGACCCAUUACUUCAACUGGAUUUACUACCAGAAGAGAAAAUAGAAGAUUUAGAUUAUGAUAGCUCGGAGGUUAUAGUGCAUCUCCCUCUUGGGACACUAUGUCCCUCGAGAAUACUGACUUAUCUGAGAUACUAAGGAAAAGCAUGAGAUGAUGCACGGGGAACCUACGAACUGAAUCAUGACUGAAUAUCUAGGAUUUGAAACUGAGGCAUAAAUAACUGAACUGAACUGGACUGAAUUCACAGAGAUUACUGAGUUUUUCUAAGUUCUAUAACUGAUUGAAUUCUACUGAGUUCUGUAACAGACUGAGAGUACAACUGAUCGUGACAUGAUUGAUACUAUUCUACAACUGACACUGGCUCUAAAUAAAAAACUAUGUUAUCGGGUAUUAAAUACCCCCAGGACUCAAUAGCAUGAAAAGUAAAGAAAAGCAUAAUCUUGAAUAACAUAACAAUGUUCACUUAGUCAUAAUUCAUUCAUAGAGACAUUCCAUCAAACAAUUAUAAUGCAUUAACUUGUACAUGAAUGGUGAUUAUAUAUUAGCAUACUAUAAUGGCAUUAUUUCAUUCUCAUAGACAAUUUAUCAAACACAUAAGAAUCAUACUUAGUUCAUUAAAUCAUAAACACUUAGGGUUAACAUGGUUACAACAAUCAACUUGCAAAUUGAUGGGUUUAUCAUGUAAUUCAACACAUACUAAAAUCAACUCUUGGAACUUGUAAUUAAAUCAUGGAUUAAAACUCAAACAAAAUCAUGAACAUGAAUUCAAUCUAAUUCAAACAUGGAAAUCAUAAAUCAUAAAUCUUUUAUUUUUAAAAAGUAUUCUUGGGCUCCAUGGAAGGUAAGGAUCCAUGGAUGAACAUCUAACAUACCUUAAUUUAAUGAGUUCUUGGAGAAAUUCUUGGGAUUGACCUUGAUUCUUGAGAGCUAGGGUUUCUUUUUUUGAGAGAGAAUUAUCUUUUAAUUUUGGGAAAAAGUGAAUAAUGAAGGGUUUUACACGUUUUAGGGCUUAAAUCCCACAUCAGGGCAGAAUAAAAUCAUGAGAAAAAACUAUUUUAACCUUGGGGCGCACUUUAAUUUUUUGAGAAAUUUUCCUGAUCUGGACCCCUGGUGCGAUGCGCCACUAUCGUGCUAGGCUACUAGAAAAUGAUCACUUGGAAAUUUCAUGGUGGCGCGACGUGGUGGUAUCGCGUUGCCACUUUGUUUGUGAACUAGGAGUGCAUCGUGACGCGGUGGAAUCACGUUGGUACACUGGAAAUUGACAAUUGUGAACUGGGUUUUUGGCGCAAUGCGCCAAUAUCAUGGAGCAACACUGAAAAUUGAAAAUUGUUGUUUUAACACACUCCGUGACAUGCUACUGGCCUGGAUGACAAUGUUUAACGGCUGAAACUUAAAAUCACCAUAACUUCUUACCCGGUUGUCGGAUUUAGGCGAAUUUUAUAUUGUUGGAAAGCUAAUUGAAUUUUCUACGCAAUGGCAGGCUCAAAUAUACAAAUUAUAAAGUAUUUCAAAAAAUUUAUUUAGGAUAAACCAUGUACUGAGGAUUAAUCUAGGCUAGAAAAAUAUGGGGUAUUACAGGGCACUAAUGUUAUUGAGAUUUGGAUUUGAGGAGUUAUUUAUUUGCUCUCUUUGAAGACCUUUGGAGAGUUUCUUUGAACUGUUCAAAAAAAAUUGCCCCAAUUUGAAUAUCGAAGGAAUUAUUCUGAAAUAGUGAAGAGAUCAAACCCGAAUACCAGGUUUCCUAUGUAUCUUGUUAGGACAAGAAUUAGGUAAAACCAUAGUUUAAACUUUUUAUAAGUUUGUAUACAGCAUGACCCAUUUCUAGAAUAGAAACUUUCCUAAAUGGUUGAGAGUAGAACUGAAUAAUUGCGAGAAGGUGCACUAACCUAAAUGCAUCAACUCUAAAACUAUGAAAUUCAAAGAAGGUUUGAGGGAGUGUAAGACACCUCCCGCGUGAACCACAGUAUGUGAAGUGUACAAUAAAAAACUCGAUGGAAUUGUGAUUUAUGAUUAAAUAAAGUAAAUAAUAAUGCGUAACAGUUUUUACAAUAUACAGAUACAGUGUAUUACACAAAUAAUGAAUAAAAGAAUUGAUAAAGCAACAAAAUUAAUUUGCUCAAAUAAUGUAAAAAAUUCAAGAAAAAAUCUACGCAAUUUGCAAUGUGAACACAUAAAGAAUCAAAGAAUUAAUAUAUACAAAAGAUGUAAAAAUACCUCCCUCAAUUAAAAAAUUGAGUCUAUCAUGGUUAGAACCUGCUGCAUUCUCCAGCAGAGUCGCCAUUCUGUCAUGCCCUAUUUUUACCAAGGUUAAACAAAACAUGACUCGUGGACUCUAAGAGAAUUGAAAUAUGUACAGAGUCGCCACCUAAUUUUUAAUAAACAUAAGGAAACCUGUUUAUUUAUAACACGUGUGAAUAAUGUUUUAGUCUGCGAAAAAUUAAUUGAGAUUCUAGGUAAGGGUUCAAGUUAUCCCGAAGGAAAGGGGUUGAGCAUUUUUCAGGAUCCAUAAAUAUGGUACCCGGCUAGACUAAAUUUAUCAAAAAGGGAGGAAGUAUAAAAAUAAUGUAAAAGGUGUAUGUGUAUUAAAUAUAAAAUAAUUCUUUUGAAAAAAUAUAAAUGCAAAGGUAUGUGUAUAUUGAGUAUAAAAUAAUUCUUUUGAAAAAAUAAAUAUUUAAAAACUGUGUAAAAAUAUAAUAUAUAUACUAUGAAAGAAAAAUCAGUUUAUAGAUUUCUACUUGAAAAGAAAAGAUUUCACAAUAUUUAUGAUGUGAAUAUGUAGAAAUUAAUUGAUUAUUUUUUUUGUUUGUGGAAAUAUUAACGGCCUAAUUCUUGCCUAAAUGUGCGAUGAGAAUUAUGUAAAUAAAGAACAUCCCCGUCUGACACUGCAAAAGUAAAGUUUCCACUAUAUUUGUACAAGUAUAAAAAUAUAAAAUGCAAUACAAAAUUUAAAGUCUCUUUGAAUGCCACUCCUGACGAGUAUCCCCAAUAACCUGUAUAAAUACUUGUAAUAAAAAAAUGUUAGUAAUAAAUCAAAAUAAAUUUAAAAUAUAUGUGCAUAUAUGUAUAUAAAAAUAGAAUUUUUAUUAAAGUGUGUGCUUGAAUAAAGUUUUAAAUAUUAUAAAGAUUUUGUCAUUGCUAGAGUUUAUUUACUUUUGUUACCCAUUUGUAUACGUAAUGUUCGUUUUUUAUUUGAGGAGGCCUGAAAAAUCGACGGAGAAUUUCUUCAUCGGCCAAGUGUUGAUGCUUGAUAUGAAUAAAUAAACUUGAGAAAAAUAAAGUCUGUCUUUGUAAUGGGGUGGCCUAAAAAAUCCAACGAAGAGAUAAUUUCAUCGGUCAUGUGUCUAUUUUUGAUAUAAAAUAAAUAACUUGAAAAGUAAAGAUCCGUUUUUGUAUUGGGAUGGCCUCAAAUAUCCGUUAAAGAGAUAAUGUCAUCGGCCAGGUGUAGUGUACUAUCUUAUUUUGCUACUAAUUUAAUAAAAUGUAAAGGGCAAAAUCAGUCCACCGGACAGCAUAACACAGUAGCAAAGAUAGAAAAUCUGUAGCAAAAUUAGCAGCACUAAUAACAAUUUACAAUAGUGAAUGGAGCAGCAGUAACAACAUAACAAAAAAUUUGAGCAGCCUGAAAAUUACAGCAUCGUUUGAAACAUGUAAAUGCUCAUCGAAAAGUAUGUUUUGUAAACUCCGGCCAACAACAUUUAGAGCAACAAUAAAAAGCAGGUUAAACAAAACGUUGUUUUUCAGUUAGUUUCAAACCAAAAAUUCAAGACACAACAUUGAUGAAUAAUACAACGAAACCCAAACUAUCAAAGAAUUUUUUGAUCAGUGAUAGCAACAAACAGUGAAAGAGAAUGUGUCGCUUCCACCGCCUUCACCGGAGCAACACCGAAAGCCAUAAACUUCAGCCAGAUCUAACCCAUUUUAGAUGGGCAGUGGUUGUUGUGUUGUUGCCAGUCGUCCGUGUGUCAAAUCCAGCGAUAACAUUGAAGAGGGGUAGCGUGGCGCAUGGCAGUGGUGCCUCGCUGGUCAUAACUUUCGGCGAGGAGCAGGACCAAUAAGAACACGACAUCAAAGAAGAGGGGGCGGGUUAGAGUUUUUACCAGCCACAAUGGUUGGUCAUAAUUCACCGGUGAUGGGGGAGCAGAGGUUGCGCGAUGGUCGGAGGUGGCUGGUUUUGGGAGUUUAGCCAUCUAGAAUUGGUGGUUCUUGGCCAAAAAUAGCCUGUCGGUGGUCAAAUCUAGUGAGGCAGCGACGAAAAAGAGGAGGAAGGAUGGUCACCGGCAGAUCUGGUUCUUGGUAGUCACAGACAGAUCUGGUUCAUUGUGGCGCUGGUGUUUUCACUAACUAGAGCGGUGAUUGGCGGUGGUGGUAGCAUAACUGGUUGAGGGAGAUGAGAAAGGGAGAGAGAUGUAUAUGUGUGUUGGUUUGUGUGUUGGUGUGAGUAUAUUGUUAUUUUUCCAAAUAAUUGUAUGGCUUCCCUUUUUUUAAGCUGAGAGGGUAGAAAAUAAAAACCUACACUUUCAAAUUUUAUCUCAUGGGGUGAUUGUUCCCUCUUUUUUCGUGUGUGAUUGUUAUAUUGUGUAAAACUAAUUAAUCCGACUCAGUAUUUGCGGACCUUAAAAAUAUAGACAUUACUUUGUAAUUAUGAGAAAAAAGUAAAGAAUGUUGAAAAUAUUGAAAAAAUGUAAUUAGUUUGAAAAUGUUAUAAAAAUGUGAUGUCAUGUCAUGUACAUGUGUAGAUGAUUGUAAAAUGUUAAAAUGAUAAUGAAUUGAUAAAAAAUCCAAUG